CCACCAAGACUCUGCCACAUGAUGGGACUGUGUUUGUAGCUAUCUGGGCAGUGAAUGGGGUUGGCCUACAGAGUGAUGCCUACCACGCUGAACUGGUCCUGAAGGCAGACUCUACUCUGUGGCUGGUGAGGAGGUGUCAGGCCUACAACUGUGAGGGACAUUGUGUCUGUGCUGUGCAGGGCGGUACCUGUUCUGAAGACACAUGUGUAUUAUCAACAGCAGGAGCCAACUCUAUCACUGUCGUCGACAGUAUCGACCUCUCGUUAACACCUGAUGUUGCUGACGUUGAUGUUUCUCGUU
This is a long non-coding RNA of Haliotis rubra (blacklip abalone), 300 nucleotides long. RefSeq lists it as uncharacterized. The transcript has 3 exons. NCBI's taxonomy places the organism in Eukaryota, Metazoa, Mollusca, Gastropoda, Lepetellida, Haliotidae. The record is from RefSeq and is a predicted model, not a curated record.